Molecule: non-coding RNA, 22 nt
Filed under: Arabidopsis thaliana (thale cress)
Lineage: Eukaryota; Viridiplantae; Streptophyta; Magnoliopsida; Brassicales; Brassicaceae
Also listed under: 2 other names
Source: RNAcentral
UAAGCGGAGGAAAAGAAACUAA